RNAcentral lists this ribosomal RNA (486 nucleotides) under uncultured bacterium. RNAcentral's name for it is "partial 16S ribosomal RNA". It matches the Rfam family "Bacterial small subunit ribosomal RNA", at positions 29 to 507 of the family's 1533-position model. The record is from RNAcentral.
AUUGAACGCUGGCGGCAUGCCUUACACAUGCAAGUCGAACGGCAGCACGGGUGCUUGCACCUGGUGGCGAGUGGCGAACGGGUGAGUAAUACAUCGGAACAUGUCCUGUAGUGGGGGAUAGCCCGGCGAAAGCCGGAUUAAUACCGCAUACGAUCUACGGAUGAAAGCGGGGGACCUUCGGGCCUCGCGCUAUAGGGUUGGCCGAUGGCUGAUUAGCUAGUUGGUGGGGUAAAGGCCUACCAAGGCGACGAGCAGUAGCUGGUCGGAGAGGACGACCAGCCACAUUGGGACUGAGACACGGCCCAGACUCCUACGGGAGGCAGCAGUGGGGAAUGGGGGACAAUGGGCGAAAACCUGAUCCAGUAAGGCGGCGUGUGAGAAGAAGGCCUUCGGGUUGUGAAGCACUUCUGUCCGGUGAGAAACCCUUGGCUCUGAGACAGUCGGGGGAUGACGGUACCGGAUGAAUAAGCACCGGCUAACUACGUG